CGGGUGAGUAACGCGUGGGUAACCUACCCUGUACACACGGAUAACAUACCGAAAGGUAUGCUAAUACAGGAUAAUAUAUUUGAGAGGCAUCUCUUGAAUAUCAAAGGUGAGCCAGUACAGGAUGGACCCGCGUCUGAUUAGCUAGUUGGUAAGGUAACGGCUUACCAAGGCGACGAUCAGUAGCCGACCUGAGAGGGUGAUCGGCCACAUUGGAACUGAGACACGGUCCAA
RNAcentral lists this ribosomal RNA (231 nucleotides) under uncultured bacterium. Its description in RNAcentral is "partial 16S ribosomal RNA". It matches the Rfam family "Bacterial small subunit ribosomal RNA", at positions 103 to 334 of the family's 1533-position model. The record is from RNAcentral.